UGCAGUCGACGGUAACAUUUCUAGCUUGCUAGAAGAUGACGAGUGGCGGACGGGUGAGUAAUGCUUGGGAACUUGCCUUUGCGAGGGGGAUAACAGUUGGAAACGACUGCUAAUACCGCAUAAUGUCUUCGGACCAAACGGGGCUUCGGCUCCGGCGCAAAGAGAGGCCCAAGUGAGAUUAGCUAGUUGGUAAGGUAACGGCUUACCAAGGCGACGAUCUCUAGCUGUUCUGAGAGGAAGAUCAGCCACACUGGGACUGAGACACGGCCCAGACUCCUACGGGAGGCAGCAGUGGGGAAUAUUGCACAAUGGGGGAAACCCUGAUGCAGCCAUGCCGCGUGUGUGAAGAAGGCCUUCGGGUUGUAAAGCACUUUCAGUUGUGAGGAAAAGUUAGUAGUUAAUACCUGCUAGCCGUGACGUUAACAACAGAAGAAGCACCGGCUAACUCCGUGCCAGCAGCCGCGGUAAUACGGAGGGUGCGAGCGUUAAUCGGAAUUACUGGGCGUAAAGCGCACGCAGGCGGUUUGUUAAGCUAGAUGUGAAAGCCCCGGGCUCAACCUGGGAUGGUCAUUUAGAACUGGCAGACUAGAGUCUUGGAGAGGGGAGUGGAAUUCCAGGUGUAGCGGUGAAAUGCGUAGAUAUCUGGAGAACAUCAGUGGCGAAGGCGACUCCCUGGCCAAAGACUGACGCUCAUGUGCGAAAGUGUGGGUAGCGAACAGGAUUAGAUACCCUGGUAGUCCACACCGUAAACGCUGUCUACUAGCUGUGUGUGUCUUUAAGACGUGCGUAGCGAAGCUAACGCGCUAAGUAGACCGCCUGGGGGAGUACCGCCCGCGAGGGAUAAAACUCAAAUGGAAUUGACGGGGGCC
RNAcentral lists this ribosomal RNA (869 nucleotides) under Alteromonas macleodii. Its description in RNAcentral is "bacterial SSU rRNA". It matches the Rfam family "Bacterial small subunit ribosomal RNA", at positions 56 to 921 of the family's 1533-position model. The record is from RNAcentral. Lineage: Bacteria; Pseudomonadati; Pseudomonadota; Gammaproteobacteria; Alteromonadales; Alteromonadaceae.